RNAcentral lists this ribosomal RNA (164 nucleotides) under uncultured bacterium. RNAcentral's name for it is "partial 16S ribosomal RNA". It matches the Rfam family "Bacterial small subunit ribosomal RNA", at positions 355 to 511 of the family's 1533-position model. The record is from RNAcentral.
UAGGGAAUCUUCCACAAUGGGCGCAAGCCUGAUGGAGCAACACCGCGUGAGUGAAGAAGGGUUUCGGCUCGUAAAGCUCUGUUGUUAAAGAAGAACACGUAUGAGAGUAACUGUUCAUACAUUGACGGUAUUUAACCAGAAAGUCACGGCUAACUACGUGCUAG